This is a transfer RNA of Alligator mississippiensis (American alligator), 72 nucleotides long. It matches the Rfam family "tRNA". Rfam says of the family: Transfer RNA (tRNA) molecules are approximately 80 nucleotides in length. NCBI's taxonomy places the organism in Eukaryota, Metazoa, Chordata, Crocodylia, Alligatoridae. The record is from Rfam.
GACCUUGUGGCGCAAUGGCAGUGUGUCUGACUCCAGAUCAGAAGGCUGUGUGUUCAAAUCACACCAGGGUCA